CGCGGCCUAUCAGCUUGUUGGUGAGGUAACGGCUCACCAAGGCUCCGACGGGUAGCUGGUCUGAGAGGACGAUCAGCCACACUGGGACUGAGACACGGCCCAGACUCCUACGGGAGGCAGCAGCAGGGAAUAUUGCACAAUGGGCGCAAGCCUGAUGCAGCGACGCCGCGUGGGGGAUGAAGGCCUUCGGGUUGUAAACCCCUUUCAGCAGGGACGAAGCGAAAGUGACGGUACCUGCAGAAGAAGCACCGGCCAACUACGUGCCAGCAGCCGCGGUAAUACGUAGGGUGCAAGCGUUGUCCGGAAUUAUUGGGCGUGAAGAGCUCGUAGGCGGUCUGUCGCGUCGGAUGUGAAAACUCGGGGCUCAACCCCGAGCCUGCAUCCGAUACGGGCAGACUUGAGUUCGGCAGGGGAGACUGGAAUUCCUGGUGUAGCGGUGAAAUGCGCAGAUAUCAGGAGGAACACCGGUGGCGAAGGCGGGUCUCUGGGCCGAUACUGACGCUGAGGAGCGAAAGCGUGGGGAGCGAACAGGAUUAGAUACCCUGGUAGUCCACGCCGUAAACGGUGGGUGCUAGGUGUGGGGAACUUUCCACGUUCUCCGUGCCGCAGCUAACGCAUUAAGCACCCCGCCUGGGGAGUACGG
This 643-nucleotide ribosomal RNA is filed under the name uncultured Actinomycetes bacterium. Its description in RNAcentral is "bacterial SSU rRNA". It matches the Rfam family "Bacterial small subunit ribosomal RNA", at positions 232 to 885 of the family's 1533-position model. The record is from RNAcentral. Lineage: Bacteria; Bacillati; Actinomycetota; Actinomycetes.